CCUACGGGUGGCAGCAGUGGGGAAUAUUGGACAAUGGGGGCAACCCUGAUCCAGCCAUGCCGCGUGUGUGAAGAAGGCCCUCGGGUUGUAAAGCACUUUCAGUGAGGAAGAACGCCUGGUGGUUAAUACCCAUCAGGAAAGACAUCACUCACAGAAGAAGCACCGGCUAACUCCGUGCCAGCAGCCGCGGUAAUACGGAGGGUGCGAGCGUUAAUCGGAAUUACUGGGCGUAAAGCGCGCGUAGGUGGCUUGAUAAGCCGGUUGUGAAAGCCCCGGGCUCAACCUGGGAACGGCAUCCGGAACUGUCAAGCUAGAGUGCAGGAGAGGAAGGUAGAAUUCCAGGUGUAGCGGUGAAAUGCGUAGAGAUCGGGAGGAAUACCAGUGGCGAAGGCGGCCUUCUGGACUGACACUGACACUGAGGUGCGAAAGCGUGGGUAGCAAACAGGAUUAGAUACCCUUGUAGUC
Molecule: ribosomal RNA, 465 nt
Filed under: Vreelandella stevensii
Lineage: Bacteria; Pseudomonadati; Pseudomonadota; Gammaproteobacteria; Oceanospirillales; Halomonadaceae
Description: partial 16S ribosomal RNA
Rfam family: Bacterial small subunit ribosomal RNA
Source: RNAcentral